Molecule: ribosomal RNA, 523 nt
Filed under: uncultured bacterium
Lineage: Bacteria
Description: bacterial SSU rRNA
Rfam family: Bacterial small subunit ribosomal RNA
Source: RNAcentral
UAGUCCACGCCGUAAACGAUGGACACUAGUUGUUGGAAUUAUUCAGUGACUAAGCGAAAGUAAUAAGUGUCCCACCUGGGGAGUACGAUCGCAAGAUUGAAACUCAAAGGAAUUGACGGGGGCUAAUACUAGUGGUGGAACAUGUGGUUUAAUGCGAUACUCCGCGCAAAACCUUACCAAUUUUUGACAUAAAAAAUAAAUGCUAUUUUAUGCAAUUGUUGCAUUUUUAGUUGUUAAUUUUUACAGGUGUUGCACGGCUGUCGUCAGCUCGUGCCGUGAGGUGUCAGGUUAAGUCCUAUAACGAGCGCAACCCCUGUUGUUAGUUGCCAGCGAGUAAUGUCGGGAACUCUAACAAGACUGCCGGUGCAAACCGCGAGGAAGGUGGGGAUGACGUCAAAUCAUCACGGCCCUUACGUCCUGGGCCACAUACGUGCUACAAUGGUAGGGACAGAGAGCAGCCACUAGGUGACUAGGAGCGAAAUCUACAAACCCUAUCUCAGUUCGGAUCGGAGUCUGCAACUCG